CCUACGGGCGGCAGCAGUAGGGAAUAUUGCUCAAUGGGGGAAACCCUGAAGCAGCAACGCCGCGUGGAGGAUGAAGGUUUUCGGAUUGUAAACUCCUUUUGUUAGAGAAGAUAAUGACGGUAUCUAACGAAUAAGCACCGGCUAACUCCGUGCCAGCAGCCGCGGUAAUACGGAGGGUGCAAGCGUUACUCGGAAUCACUGGGCGGAAAGAGCGCGUAGGCGGGAUAGCAAGUCAGAUGUGAAAUCCUAUGGCUUAACCAUAGAACUGCAUUUGAAACUGUUAUUAUAGAGUAUGGGAGAGGUAGGUGGAAUUCUUGGUGUAGGGGUAAAAUCCGUAGAGAUCAAGAGGAAUACUCAUUGCGAAGGCGACCUGCUAGAACAUAACUGACGCUGAUGCGCGAAAGCGUGGGGAGCAAACAGGAUUAGAUACCCUAGUAGUC
This 440-nucleotide ribosomal RNA is filed under the name uncultured bacterium. RNAcentral's name for it is "partial 16S ribosomal RNA". It matches the Rfam family "Bacterial small subunit ribosomal RNA", at positions 338 to 795 of the family's 1533-position model. The record is from RNAcentral.